CCCAUCUAACAAACGGAAACAGAUCGCAUUAAAUGCCAUUGAAAUAAAACACUAAAUAGUAAACAACAUUUCGUUCCAUCAUCGAAAUUUGAAGCUACAGUUGGUGAAAACAAGCUGGGCUACAGUGCCUUCGGCAACUCUGAAGCCGCCUUGGCACAUUUGACCAUGAUGGGAUCCUCCUGACUGCAGAAAUUGUUCCGGUUUAAAACAAACAGAAAAACAUAGUUAGGUUGCCAAUUCCGAGGUCAACGCAAUCGAAAAAUGAGACCUAAUGACGUAACACGAAAAACGACGCGGAUAGGGAGAGGAGACAGCGAGACAGAGAGAGAGAGAGAGAGAGAGAGAAAAAGAAAAAAGAAAAAAGAAAACUUGGCAAAAGGAUUCCCUUUUUCUUUCCUACGAGACGACAGGAGACGGUAAUAGAAAACCCCUGGCAGGAGAGGAUCCAUGCUCUGCCCAUUUGGUUUCGUCUUCUUUUCGGCAAGGAAUUUCUUUUACUUUGUUCUUUGCUCGUCUUCCGGCAUUUCUAUUCCAAGGCUACGCAGAAUCAAAAGUUAUCUGAGAACAAGGAGGGAUGUCACAAUCCCAAAGAAUGCAGUUUAUUCCGCAACACAAGAGCCAAUUUUUCGUGCAUUCAACGAAAUCAGUGGAUUGUCGGUAAAGUCCUGAUCUAUUUAUGCGACUACCAGUCGAUUUCUCGAUUUCGUCCAUAUUUCAUUUAUCAUUUUAGAAGCAUCCCGAGCGAGAAUACCUACUCUUCAACAUAACAGAAACGAUGAGUAGGGACGCCCAUUAAUUGCAUUCACCUAUUGUUUCUUUAAAAUAGCGUGUAGAAAAACAAAAGUGAAAAACCCAAAGACAUAGAAGGAAAAGAAAAGGACCAUGAAACUUCUUCUUUAAAAAAUUUAAAACGAACGCCAGCCAAGAGAUAAGAAACUAAGAGCUAGAGCUAAAAGAUGCAGGGAACCAGACAAAACUUCACCUGGAGCAAAAAUUUCUUUCGUGUCAGACUGUACCAGGCGCGAUCAGUUUCUCAGCAAGAUAGGUGGAUAGAGGUGGAAAAGGGCACACCCCCUUGUCUUCUUCUAUACAUGUUUUUGCUUAUAUAAUCCACCUCAAAUAGGAUAGAAAAAAAAGCAUUAAAAAAAAACUCCAUCCGCACCACAGGGUUUUUCCAUUCGAUUAGUGAAUGGUACCACUGCGUACCUGUGUAAAAAGAAAAGCUGCUAGUCAGCAGCAAACAAGUACCAACAAUGUUUACCAACUUUUCGUAUUUGGCAAAAAAUAUUAAACGUCCUCAAACAAAUUUUAUGCGUUUUUUCUUUUGCGAUUGUUAUAGCAUUAGCGCAUUGUUGAAAUGAGGCCACGGUAACUACAAAAAGGUGAGUGCCUUGAAAUCAAAUUGUUUCAACUGUUGCCAAUUAUUUCCUUUCACGGUAGGGGUAUUAGGUCUAAUCGUUUUAAUUGCAGAUUUUUCGAGCAAACCGGUUAUUACAAUUUUUCUAGCAAUACAUUGUCCUUCCACCUGUAAUCAAUUACCCGACCUCCUUGUCAAUGAAAAAAUGAUUAUCAUUUCACGACAUAAUUUACGAGAAGCCUGGACUAUCGCGAACUGUUUCAAUUGAAAGUUUUUUCUGUGCGGAGUCGACAUUCUUUUGAUCUACCUAUAUGGAUAUGAUAAAUACGUCGUUCUCGAUACAGUUCCAAUUUUUCCUGUCGGCCAUCUCAUGCAUAUAACACAAUGAAAAUGAAGGUCAUAAACUCGAUCACGAACCGUCACCUCUCACUCAUUUGAAAUUCACUAGAAAAAUACUUAACAACACAAAAUAAUCAAACCUGUUGAAUUUUGAGUUCGCAUUCGAAGCAGCUUGCGGUUAAACUAUGAAAAGAUUUAAAUCUUUUUCUUAAAAAACAAACAAAUGACAAACUAUUUAUAUCGUCGCGUCAAAACCUGUGGGCAAACAUUUUGGCUCUCUUCCACUUGUACCACCAAAAAAAUCGCAAUCCAAUUUGUUUGUUGAUAAAAUAUCUAAAACAAUCCCGAGCUUUUCUUUUUACCGUAGUUUUGACGGAAAAACCUGUGCGUGGCGCUCGAUACAUGUCAUCUAUUAUUAUCUCUACAGCUAAAAAAGAAAUGGAUCAAUCCAACUUGGCUCCAGAAAAAAAAUUGUUGCGUGAGUACCGCAACAGCCGGCCGCAACAGACAAGUUCCAUCUUGCCAAAAAGAAAAAAAGGAAAUAGAAUGGCAAAAAAAAAAAAAAUGCAACUACCAAAUGAGAAAACGACCCAUGUAACGGUUAAGCAACCGAAAGAAACUCGAUCCUGUUGAUCUCCUUUUUUUUUUUGGUUGUUUGCUUCCCAUCCCCCCAAUGUCUUUAUUCGAUACUCAGGUACUAGACUGGCAGUUGCAAAGCUUGCACAAAACGAUUGGGGCCAGAACACGUUAAAGUAGGGUGCAUUAUGUAUCACCCACAAUCAAUAGAUGAUGGCAGAUGGAGAAAGACGAGCACAGCGUACACUAACGGAAAAGACAUAAGAUCUAAUUACCUGCACCAUGACUUUUCGAGGGUUCUUGAAUAGGCGUAGCAUGAUGGCGGUUCGGUUGCGUUAUUCCUCUUGUAGUUAAAGAUAACCUGAAUAGUUACACACACACACAAACAAUUUCUAUUGGUUAGGUUUUUAUUCGGGCAGUAGAAUGUAUGGCAUAACAAAUGUGGCAUGUACAAAAUGCUAUUGUGAACAUUUCUCUAGAGAAAGAAAUCUACGUCCUACUACCCGAAUUUUCUUCAUGGGGAUAUCGUGGUCUUUUCUACCACUAUCUGUAGUUUUAUUUUUUUAACCGCAACUGAUUGAUAUGAACCAUUUGUUGACUUCCCUGGCAUCCCCGUUUCUUUGCAAUGUCAGCAGUUUGUAGGGGAGCACAUGUCUUACGCAACAUUGAUUUCAAACGGCGUGCACAGACAGUCAACUACGCAGAAAAAGACUGAAAUGUAAAUGACUUACCUUGCCACAAAAUGUCGGUAUCAAACAAUUUUUCUCUAGAAUAUUCGUUCCUCCAAGCAAAUGGCAGUCACACUUUAUAAGAUUGAGUUUUAAAAGUAGGGAAAUUGUGUGCAGGAU
This is a long non-coding RNA of Daphnia magna, 3120 nucleotides long. RefSeq lists it as uncharacterized. The record is from RefSeq and is a predicted model, not a curated record. Lineage: Eukaryota; Metazoa; Arthropoda; Branchiopoda; Diplostraca; Daphniidae. The transcript has 2 exons.